AAUACUGUUUUUAAAUUUUAGAACAUUUUGUGGCUAUCUGUGGAUUUUGGGAAACACUGGACUAAAAUACAUGAAAAUGUGCAGGCUUUUUCUUGGGGGCAGGGAAUCACAUUUUUUUUCAGCACACAUCCCAAUAAUACACUGGAUGCUGAUCAAAGGGGAGAGUUGCUCUUGAAAAGAACAGAAGACUUGGGAAGAACAUUUAGUACUGUGUCCAGCAACAUGUUCUCAUUUGGAUACAUUGGGCGCUUUCUCUUUACGUCAGUUGUGAAAAAACAGGGUGAACCCAGAGCUUUAUAUGUUUCUUCAGACCAGGGAGACACCUUCAAUCAAGCACAGUUACCCUUGGCUACAAUAGAACAGGUAUCAUUUUGUACA
Polyodon spathula (Mississippi paddlefish) is the source of this 378-nucleotide long non-coding RNA. RefSeq lists it as uncharacterized. The transcript is spliced from 4 exons. Lineage: Eukaryota; Metazoa; Chordata; Actinopteri; Acipenseriformes; Polyodontidae. The record is from RefSeq and is a predicted model, not a curated record.